CUCCACCAACACCACCUCCUGCUCCAACCCCUCCACCUUUACCUGCACCACCCCCAACUCCUCCACCACCAAAACCGCCACCUCCACCUACUCCACCUCCACCACCAAGACCUCCUCCAGCUCCUCCACCAAAUCCUCCACCACCUCCACGUCCACCUCCAAAUCCAGGACCUCUUCCUCCUGGUCUUCCAAAUCCACCACGUCCACCACCAAAACAACCUCUCCUUCCAAAUCCACAAUCAU
Molecule: long non-coding RNA, 243 nt
Filed under: Coffea arabica (coffee)
Lineage: Eukaryota; Viridiplantae; Streptophyta; Magnoliopsida; Gentianales; Rubiaceae
Description: long non-coding RNA (CARA_LNC008024)
Source: RNAcentral